CCCGCUCAGAAACUUAAAGGAAUUGACGGGGCCCGCACAAGCGGUGGAGUAUGUGGUUUAAUUCGAUGCAACGCGAAGAACCUUACCAGAUCUUGACAUCCAAUUGACCAUCUUUUAAUCGAGAUUUUGCCUUCGGGUACAAUUGAGACAGGUGGUGCAUGGUUGUCGUCAGCUCGUGUCGUGAGAUGUUGGGUUAAGUCCCGCAAUGAGCGCAACCCUUGUGUUUAGUUGCAAACAGGUCAAGCUGUGCACUCUAGACAGACUGCCGUGGACAACACGGAGGAAGGUGGGGAUGACGUCAAAUCAUCAUGCCCCUUAUGAUCCGGGCUACACACGUGCUACAAUGGCCGGUACAACGGGCAGCGAAGGAGCGAUCCGGAGCGAAUCCUAAAAAGCCGGUCCCAGUUCGGAUUGCAGGCUGAAACUCGCCUACAUGAAGUUGGAGUUGCUAGUAAUCGCGAAUCAGAAUGUCGCGGUGAAUGCGUUCCCGGGUCUU
RNAcentral lists this ribosomal RNA (496 nucleotides) under uncultured Fusibacter sp. RNAcentral describes it as "bacterial SSU rRNA". It matches the Rfam family "Bacterial small subunit ribosomal RNA", at positions 888 to 1382 of the family's 1533-position model. The record is from RNAcentral. Lineage: Bacteria; Bacillati; Bacillota; Clostridia; Eubacteriales; Fusibacteraceae.